This 2641-nucleotide long non-coding RNA is filed under the name Rattus norvegicus (Norway rat). Its description in RNAcentral is "long non-coding RNA NONRATT003700". The record is from RNAcentral. Lineage: Eukaryota; Metazoa; Chordata; Mammalia; Rodentia; Muridae.
AAAAAAACUGUGGCUAGGGAUGAGAGCGAGCAAAGAAGCUACAUUGCAGCCUGUGGUCACAGGGAAGGCUGACACCAGGGCCAAGCCCACAGCAUUUCUCUAAGCGCUUAGUUUCUGAGGAGAUUCUGUCCCAGCAGUUCAAGGUGAAACAUCAAUUUUUGUUCUUUUCAUUUUAGGGCCAAUAAAGUCAUAAUGCACAUAUGCCUCAGUAUAUUGAACUUAAAAAUUAUGAUUGCAAAAUUUAUUGAGAAUUUAUUUAAUCCAGUAUCCUGACCAAAUGGGAUCAGUGAAAUGGACCAAACAAUGAACAAUCUUAUGACCAUCUCAGAAGGAUGGUCUGUUUUUCUCUUUUCUGAGAAAGAGGCUGUUUUUAUCUCCAAAUGAUCUGUUUGGAUAUCAGCAAGAAAUUUAACUGUAUAUAUUGACUUUCAAGUAGUUAUGCUGAGCCAAAACAAUACAGCAAAACAAAACUUUAAAAAAGUAUACAAGAACCAAAGACUAAUUUCAUAACCUUGCUGAGUUUCUUGCUUUGCGGCUUCCUAGUUCUACGAGUUACACAUUAUGUAUUUUAUCAGUCAAACCCAGCCCGAUUCUACCCAGGAAGGGUCACCAGUGAAAACCCAGAGCAUCAUACUUACUGACAAGAGACUUCCUUCAGACAGGAGGAAGGCAAAAUAUCAACUGCCACUCCUCUUGAUAUCACUCUGGUGGCUCCAGCCAGGACAACUUGGCAUGCAAAGACAAAACAUCCAGAUCUGAAAGUGCAGCUAAAAUUCUACCUGGUUGCAGAUGACAUCAUCAUCCACAUGGAAAAUCACAGAAUGCAAAGAUGAAAUUAAGCAUUCCACUUAGAAGAAUACCACGAAGAAUGACAGAGUAAAGGCAAGGAAGUUCAAGACAUUGCUGAAUGGAAUCAGAGGGCUAAAAUGAAGGAGACAUCUGUGGUCUGGGAAGCAUGAUAUGAAGAAGGGCUGCCUUCUCCUAACAGACUUGUUUACACAUUGCACACCAUCUCUACAGAGCCCAUCUGGAGUGUAUGCACACUGAAAAGUUGAUCUGAAAUCCACAGGGAGCCACAGGAGUCCUACAACAGUCACAGCAGCCUUGGGGUAAAGGGAGUACUUGUACCUCCAAAGCUUCCUAGGGAGCAAGAAUCCCCAGGAAAGAGACCUCACAUUUAUAGUGUGUCUAUUAAAAACAAAAAACGCAUUGUAGUGUUUUUGACAGUUCAGUUGGGAAAAAAAAUCUUCAUAAAUUGUACUCAGAACAUUCCAUAUGUAAUAGAGUUAGUCCUUCAAAUAUACAAAAAUUAACUCAAAAAUGUGUCUAAAUGUUUAAGUUACAACUCUCAAGCAGAGGCAUAAAUAUUACAGCCUUGGGUUAAAUAGUUGUUUCCUAACUGUGGCACAAACGCACAAGCAACAAGGAGAAUAAACUGAACUCCCAUCACCAUGAGAAGUACUGCAGCCAGCACAGACGCACGCCUUUAACCCCAGCACUCGGGAGGCAGAGGCAGGUGGAUCUUUGUGAGUUUGAGGCCAGCCUGGUCUACAGAGCUAGUGCCAGGACACCCAGGUUAUUACGAAGAGAAACCCUGUCUUGAAAAACAAAACACAACAAACAACAAACAGAAAAGAAAAGCCGUCUAUCAAAAUUCCAAAAGAUAGUAUCGUGGAAGGGAAAUCAUAAUGCUAAUCAUAAACUUGGGUAAAGCUUAGCAUCCAAAAAAUGUAUAAAAUCACUGGCCAACCAAAUAUAAAAAGAUCUUUUAGUUUGGUCUAAAAACCAAAAAAAGAUACACAUAAGCCACCUACAUUAAGUGCAGGUAUCAGAAGCUGGCCUUCAUUUACAGCUAGUGGAAACUUUAAUGAAGGCCCUCUAGCAUGUAGAACUUGUUAGUUCCUCCAGGGCAUAGUCCAGCCACUGGACUUCUAGAGAGAACUGAAAACAUCCACACAGAAAAGUCUCAUCCUUGAAUCCCCUCCCUUAUCCACAAGGACAUGGUUUUCCUUGGAUUGUGUGGUACAUACACCUUUUAACCUAUAUAUACACCUGAGCUAAGAGUUAGGAAUCAAGCACAGUAAGAAACAUGUGUAACAGUGUGCUGUAAUAAAUGCUGUUUAAAACUAAGAAACUGUUAAUGUUUACAUUUUAUAUUUGGUUCUUUUUGGAUCUUAUUUGACUGGGUAACUGAAAUCCUAGAAGGCAAGACGGGGUAAGGGAGAAUUAUUAUGUGAAUGUUUAGAGUUACAACCCUAAGGAAAAAUCCCAAACUCUAACCUUUAAAUGGACAGUAAACAUACUCACAAAACAGCAUUAUUCUAAAGUAAAUAUAUGAAAAAUGUUCAAAACAUGAUGCCAAGUAAUAAACAUCCAUAGUCUAGGUGAUCCACAAAGCAUAUAACGGACAUGGGGAACUGUGCAAAUAAUUUUUAAUUCUACCUACUAAAGAUGAUACCCAGUUUUCUUUACACUUCUGUUUGCAUGGUGUCAUGCUGUGCAUAAUUUUCUAUCAUUUCUUCACUAUAUUUCGAGCAUGUACGUCUAUGUGAUGAAUGGUCCCAAUAUUCUGUCAUUAGGCACUUGGAUAUUCCCACUCUGUAGCUAAAUAUUUUAAAUAAAUUUGUUUGGACUUCUAGGU